This 264-nucleotide unclassified non-coding RNA is filed under the name Neurospora terricola. RNAcentral describes it as "partial internal transcribed spacer region". The stretch from base 1 to 46 matches the Rfam family "Eukaryotic small subunit ribosomal RNA", at positions 1786 to 1831 of the family's 1831-position model. The record is from RNAcentral. Lineage: Eukaryota; Fungi; Ascomycota; Sordariomycetes; Sordariales; Sordariaceae.
AAGUCGUAACAAGGUCUCCGUUGGUGAACCAGCGGAGGGAUCAUUACAGAGUUGCAAAACUCCCACAAACCAUCGCGAAUCUUACCCGUACGGUUGCCUCGGCGCUGGCGGUCCGGAAGGCCCUCGGGCCCCCCGGAUCCUCGGGUCUCCCGCUCGCGGGAGGCUGUCCGCCGGAGUGCCGAAACCAAACUCUUGAUAUUUUAUGUCUCUCUGAGUAAACUUUUAAAUAAGUCAAAACUUUCAACAACGGAUCUCUUGGUUCUG